UAGCUCAGCUGGGAGAGCGCCUGCCUUGCACGCAGGAGGUCAGCGGUUCGAUC
Molecule: transfer RNA, 53 nt
Filed under: Bacillus anthracis (anthrax bacterium)
Lineage: Bacteria; Bacillati; Bacillota; Bacilli; Caryophanales; Bacillaceae
Description: tRNA-Ala
Rfam family: tRNA
About the family: Transfer RNA (tRNA) molecules are approximately 80 nucleotides in length.
Source: RNAcentral